UAUAUCCGAAAGCAAACAAAACACACACACAGACUCAUAUACCCCCCCCCUCCACACACACACACACACAAAGAAGCACGGAAAGUCAACCAUAGCAAGAAAAAGCAGUUCUUACCAUUAUCCAUCCCUGCAGCAAGAGAGAGAGACAGCGGGAGACUCCCUCCCCCUCCCCCACACACACUCUCCCGUGUGCUCUGUCCGAAUCAGCGCACACACACACACACGUUUCCCCUCACCACUUCAGACAGGUCCAGAGCACAGAUCAACUUUCAAUUCGCCCUUUUUCUACCCCCCCCUCCGACAACAACAGAAGAGAAAACAAGAUUGAAGUUACUUGCAUCGCAAGGACGCACAAGACAGCCUACUUAUUGCCGCACCCCACGCCUCUCCGUCUGUCCGCCACUGCUACUUGAUAGCGCAUUUUGCUGUUUUUGUGCGUGCUUGCGUUUGUGCUUGUCUGCCUGUCUCGUAUCUGCCUGUCCGUCAAAACUUUUAUUUUUGGGAGCUGAUUCUCGUGUCAUCGGUAUCUUUCCAUUUUCCUCAUACACAGAUACACACAAUCCCCCUCCCCCAUCGCGGCCCCUCACCUCUUCAUCCUGCUGGCGUCUUUCGAGCCCCGCACUACCACCACCACCAUCACCCAACCCACUCUCUCUGGCUCACUCCCUCUGCAUCUCUCUAUAUCUGUGCCAUUCACUUUGAAACAAAGCGGUGCUUCUUCUCCCUCCCCACUCGCCUUCCUUUCUGCCCCCUUUUUUUGCUCUCCUUGUCAGUGUUGUGCUCCCUUUUUCGUGUGUGCCUUCGUUUUCUCUGUGUCUUGCGUGCGCCUCUCAGCCGAUUCUGCGUUGCCACUCUCUCUCUCUCGCUCUUCGUUUUUUUUUAUGUUUGCUCACUUGCCUCCCUUUCGUUUGUGGGUCUCUCUCGCGUUAUCUCUUUGCACUUUUCACUCUCAUCUCUGCUUGGCCGGUCUUUCGGGUUCACAAGAAUUUGUCUAUUUUGCCUUCGCUGUUGCCGUUGGUGCUGACGCUGGUGCACCGCCCGUUGUUUUCACCCUCCCUCUCCCUUUCCCGUUAGUCUUUUCUCGUUCUAGCCCUCUCUGUUUCUCUCUCGCAUCAUCUCUGUCCGUCUACCUUGUUGUCGUCUGGCAAUUGAUUGCCAUUACCUCGUUAUUGUUGCUCUCGGCCUUUUCAUCAUCGCUUGUGCGCACGCGUGUGUGUGACUCUCUCUAUAUCUGCUUCGACCACGUUUGAAAUUGCAAGCGUGUCUCCCCGAGCAAUCUCUCCAUCAGUCUCUCUCUCCUUGUCAGAGUGGGUCUCCUUCUUGUCGUUGUCUGCGCGCUGGCACUGGCGCCUCAGUUUGUGUGCUCGUGCGUGCGCUGUCUUGUAUGGUUGCGCGCGUGGGAAGGUACGAAAAAAGGAGAACGUAAAGAGAAAGAGCGAAGGACGGCCUUUCUCCCUCCACACUUCCCUUCCCUCCCCCUGCCCCCGUGUCUUGUUUGCCUUGCGUAGCACGGCUGUGCUUCUUUGUCUUUUUGAACCGGAAGUGCCUUCUAUACACACGCCCCGCCCUUUUCUGCGACUCGUCAACGCCAUUCCUUUGUGCCCUUGUUCUUUUUCUUUUCUUGUUUUCGUCGACGGCGCCUGUUGCCCGCAUCCCUUUCUCUCUCUCAAUCCCGCCAUCUGUGCCUGUUGCCUGUGCCUUGCCUGACUGUUCUCAUCCCCUCCCUUCGCUCUCGUCGAACCACAGCAGCGUAGCCGAUAGCUUGAGGACAAGCACAGUGCCGUGGGCCACAAGCCGCUAGCUCCGCUCCAAAAUCCAAAAAGAGGAAAUCGCUACACGGCGCAUAUCCUCCUAGCGAUCUCACACGAACUCAAACGCCCCUUCACACCUCCAACCCGCUCAUCACCGACAUUACCGACCACCUCAGGCGCAAUUCCAUCCGAAGCGAAACAGUCGAACGAAUACACAUAGACACGCACACACACACACACACACAUAGGAACAGCAGCAGCGCCGCGUUGUCGCGCUGACAUACGCGCACAAAGAAAAAGGCGAAGCAACGAAACGAAAAAAAAACGAACAGCAAAGGGCAGGGCGACAGAUCCCACAUCAGGUAAUCAGAAAAGCAGGAAGAAAGCGUUAAGUGAAAACGCGAUACCGCAGGAGUCGUAGAACAAAACAAAGAACGAAAACGAAAAGAGGGAGAAGAACAGCGGGGCUUUACACAGACACAUUCACGUACUCAAAGUAGUGUGCGCCGAAAAGAGAGAUCAGGUCCCCUUGUCUUUUUUUUUGCGCAUCUGAACAAACUAUACAGGAACUUGUACAUACUAGUGUUGGUAUUUUCUCUUCCUCUGGCGCCUCUUUUUCUCUUGGCGUUGUCUUCUCUCCGCUUGUCAGUGCAGAGUCGCCUGCCAUUCACUCUCCCCUCCUCCUCUUGUAUAUUGUGCCUUGUGACUCUCUCCCUCUCGGAGUUUGUGUGGACGUUCGGUGAUCUCUUUCGACAACCCCUCUUUUGUUUUGCGUGCCGGGUUUUCUCUCGUAGCUUCGCUCUUUUCACGCGUUUUUUUUUUGGCUUUUCCUCUUCCUCUUGAGCAUACACCGUUGCCACGGCGCGUGUGUGUCGGUGUGGCCGCAUCGUUUCUGUCCACUCUGCCUCUGCCUCUCUGUACGUCUGUGUGUCGACGGGAUUCGAUUGCUUUCUUCGCUGGACCUCUUCUCCUCCCCCUCACUCUCCUCUUCCGCUCUGCAUCUCUCCUGCCACUGUGGCACUCGAGGGUGUCACUCUUUUUGGUUGUUCGCCUCUUUGUUGUCUCCCUCUGCAGCAUUGUGUGCUGACCGGUCGUCUGUUGUGUGUGCGCUGCUGUGUGGCGUCGUCCCUGUUCCUCGUUUACUGUUCUUUUUUUUCUACACACUUUCCGUUCUUCGCAUUCGUUUCUCCUCUUUCCUCUCUACGCCCCCUCUUCACCUGAGCGGUUUCAAGGAUUGUGCGGCUUGCCUCUCUCUCUCUUUCUUCCCUCUCCGCCUUGCCUGCACUGAUAAGAACGCACACAUAUAUAUAUGUAUACAGCUCCCUCUAUCUCGUUCUCUUCUUUUGCUUGUUUUUUUUUUUCGUAAUUCGCACAUAAAGCUCACGCCAAGUUGCUUUAUCUCUAGUAGAGACAGAGAAGACGAAAAACGAAGUAGAGAAAAGUAAGCACGAAAGAGAGGCGGAAACUGCUCUCGUUGACUUAGGCCACCACCACCAUCACCACCCUUUCCAUCUCUCUGGCUGUGCAUCUAUCCUCUCCUUAGUGGUGGCGUUACUGUGUAAGCUGCUGCAGGUCAUCUCUUUACGUCCUCUCUAUUUCUCUCCGUCCCCUUCGGCUCCUUUGCCUCUGCGCGUGCGCGUGUGUUUUUGUUUCAUUCUUUUUUCCCUUUUUUGCCCUCUCCCCCUUCCCCUCUCCUCCCCCUCCCCCACCCACGCAAACACACACUCACGCCCCACAUCGGUCUCCCUCCCUCCCUCUCCCUCUGCCAUCAUCUGUGGGCCUCCUUUCUUUGUCGCUCGCUCUUCCCUUUUUUUUCUCCCUCUUUCACAGGAUCACCUUUUAAUAUAAAGACACAACGAAGCAACGAGCGGAAUAGAAAGGAAAACAGCCUCACUGUACACACAAGUACAGACACACACACACGGACACGGAGCACCCAACCGCAUAUCAUCACGCCAAUUAUAUUGUUUUCUUCUGUUGUUCGUGUGAGUCUUCUUUCCUUGCACGCCGUUUUCAUCUCUUUUCUUUCCAAGUUUAUGCAAGGCUGACACUACGCUCUAUUUAUCACCUCUCCUUCCCCCCUCUUGACUCUGCCUCUCUUUCUCUCGCUUUUUCUUCUUGGCGUUGCCAGUCUUAUACCUCUUGCUCUUGUCGGUGGCCUCGUGUUUGUGUGCGUGUGUGUCUGCCUGUGUGUUCUGUUCGUUGUUCGCUGUCCUCCACACACCUCUCUUUGCGUCUUAUUUUUCUUUCUUAGUCGCUUGCUUUCAAGAGCAGCUGCUCUGUAUUUGUUGUUGCUGCUGUCUUCGUUCCCCUGUUCAUCUUCGUUUCUCUGCUGCUGCUUGACUUUCUAUCUGAAGGUGCACUGCGGUGGUGCUGCCGCCCUUAAUUGUGGGUUGUUGCUUGUGCACGUGUGAGCAGCAAAGCAUUCCAUUCUCUUCUUUUCCAUCGUUCUCCCUCUCUCCUCAGCACCAACCACGGAGAACGGAAAAGAGAGCCGUUCACGCUUCUGCUGUGUAUGCGUGCCGCAGGUUUAUCGUCGUAAGCGGUUUCAUUGAGAUACCACUCCGAAUACUUUCAUAGACGACGAGGGAAAAAAAACAUAAGACACGCGCUCCACUCCUGCAAGUGUGUGUGUGUGGGCGCGCGCGCUGUUGUUGUUGAAGCGACGCCUUGAUUGUUUUCGCGCUUCGCGCAGUGCUUGCUUUGCCUUCCGCCUCUUUGCGCUCCUCUGCUUUCUCCCGUUGCUCUUCCGGCUCAUUGUGUGGGCGUGUUCACUUGGGUAUUCGAGGAAAGGGGGGGGGUGCUCCGGCUCUCCUUUCCACAUACGCACAUACACAGCAUAUAUAGAGUGCAGAGGGUGCACUAUAGAAACCAGGCGCGUCGGCGCCCGUGCGUCCGUGCAUACAUUCGCUUUGAGAGCGGCGCAUAAUCAUUGGUGUCUCUUCCGCAUAAUUCUUGUUGCUGCCGCUGCUUUUAUUAUUAGGCCCGCUAUCGUUGUGCGCGCGUGAUUGGGGGAAUUUGGCGUUGGAAGUCCCCCUCCUUUUUUGCGGGGUUUCUGUAUCCAAGCGUGCAUGCGUGUCUGUGUCCGUCUGCAUCUGCGUUCGUGUGUGUCUCCUUUCCUUUCCCUCAUCCUGUGAUGGUGGGCUGAUCUCUUCUCGCCUUUCUGUUCUUCUAUUUAUAUUGCUGUCGACGUGAUCCGGGAUCGUCCUUCUGCAUCAUAGUAUUGUCUCUUGUGUUGUUGAUCAUCAUUUACGUUUGUUCUCGUCUUCAUCCCACCCUCCCUUUCCGUGUUUGUGUGCGUGCGUGACGGCCCGCGCUUGCGUUCCUUCCAUUUCGCUCGCUCUCUCUCGUUUUGUCGACACCAGUAACCGGCAUCAGCUCGCCCUGCCUCGUCUCCAGGUCUUCUUUCCUUGAGAAACGUCUGCGUUCCCCCCCCUCCCCCCGACUCCCCCCGCACCGCCUACACCGACAAGCGUCCCUUUUCUCCUGUGGGCACGCAGCAGUGAAGAAGAUUUCCGCUGUUCCUGCGGGUUGCCUGCGCGUACGUGGCUGACACCCACACCGACACACCACUCUUCAGCGCGGGCUUUGUUGCACCCAGUUUUGUCCGUUGUGGCACUUGUUUUGUGUGUGCUUGCGUUAGUCUGUGCCGUUCUCUCGCUUCCUUCCUUUUCGCCUUUUCAUCUUCCGCUCAUUGCGUCUCCGUGUCUUCGCCUCGUCGCCGUCUUCGUCUCUUUCUCUGUCACCCUUCCCGUCUUUUUCGCUUCACCCGUUGCGUGUCGUCUUUUCUUUUUUUUUUUCGCGUCGUCCGCGAUUGCGUUGCGCCUCGUCGGGUGGUAGUGGUCGUGCCUGCUUCCGUGGUGCUGUCGAAGAGACGUUGACGAUUAUUUCGCCUGUUUCGUUCCCCAUCGGCUUGCGCUGCGCACAACUGCGGCGAAGGAGUGCGCCCCCUUUUUUGGUGCGUUCUCGCCCUGUUCUUUCGGAUCGUCUUUCUGUAUCUUUGACGGCCGCCUCCCUCAUCGCGUCACCAUGGAGACGAAUCGGCCACCUUCGACGGCGAAGUGGGUGAGCCGACGCACGCUUGACAGUCAGGCGAACAACCGCGAAAACAACGCAGGACUGACGCACCCGCGCGGGUCCAACUCAGACAAAAACCCGAACAGCGCGAAUCAUCACCACGGCGCGGAGAAGCGUAGGUAUGGGCACGCCCCAGAUGCUGUCAUUGCGGCAAUCGGUCGUGGCAGCGGCAGCGGCAAUGCUGGCGGCGCCGCUGCCGCUGACAACUCGCCGUCCGCACCGUUCCACACGAACGGCGGCUGCGGCAAUAACCGGUUUGGCAUCUCAGGCAGUGGCCACGGCGGCGGUUGGGGCAGCAACGCUCCCAACUCACAUGCCACAAACAACGAACUCAACCACCAGGGUAACACGUUUGCCACGAACACCGUUAACGCUCAUGGACCACACAGCAACGGCAAUAAUAACGCCAAUGGCGGUAGCCGUCGCGGCUAUGGGGCCGGUGGUGGGUAUGGAGAGGCGACAGAGCCGACAAUCCCGCCACCGCCGCGAAGCGUGCAGAUGGGGCAGGGCGCCUUGGCUGCCCAAGCCGCCGCGGCCACCUCGCGGGAUUUUAUUCCGCAGCCGCGCCACGCAAAGGCAAACAGCAGCGCCAGCAGCCACUCUCUGAAGUCGAUGGAAGCAUCACCGCCUCCUCCUGGCGCCGUGCCUUCUGUGCCUCCUGCCACCCACAGCCCUAGCUCGACCCCAGCGCUACGCUGGGGUUUCAACGCCACCCCAACACCACGCAGCGCGAACGGCGGCGCAGCAACGCCGAACGCACCCCCAUUGGCUUAUACUGCCGCCUCCCACUUCGACGCGCUGGCGGGGCUCCUCGCUCCCAAGUCAGCUACACCGUCGCCCCUCGCGAGCGCAGCAGACGGUGGUGGCCCCGAGGCAACGGUUGCUGCCCAAGCACCUCCGCCUUUCACGGCCGCACCGCUGGCGUUUACCACGACGGUGCCCUCCGUCAACGCCUCUCUCGCCUCCACCGCACCAGGCGCAGGUGCUCCAGCGCCACUGCGGUCGUUCGCCGCCACUAGCGCCGUGAAUGUCGAGCCCUCGCCUCUCGAUUCGUUUCACAUCGGCGAAAACCUCAGCUUCGGCGCCUCCGCAUUCGGCGGGUCGCUGCACUCGCAGCCGUCCGAGAUUGAGACGCUGCUGGGCCAGGUGGAGCGCAGCGCGGGGACGCUGCCGGCGGGGGCGGCAGGUGAGCGCGUGAUAGGCGGCUCGCUGCGCGAGCGGCGCUCCGUGACUGACUGGGGCAUCGAGGAGGCGAUCCGGACGGUGCUGCCGGGGAUGGACGAGGACGAGAGCUCGGACAACAUGCAGGGCCCGAAUUUCUCUGGCGGCAUCGCAGCCAUCACCGGCAACUGGCACACGUCCGGCGAUGUCGAGGCGCAACCUGUCGCCAGCGGUGGCGUCAGUGGCCUGCUGGCCGACUUCCCCACAUCAUUUGCUGCGUCCUUCUCAGAGCCUGCGAGCACGUUGCUGCAGUCGCCCUUCGCCGCAGAUGCAGCCUCGAACACGAUGGACAAUCUUAGUCGGGCCUUCAGUACCGCUGCCCGCGUGGAUUCCUGCUCCUUCACUACGUCGCCAGCCACCACGACGGCGACCCCGCUGCAGCGCCCUCCAACGUCGCCGGGGGUGCGGCUGCCAAAUCGCGUCACACCGGUAGAGUCAAUGUCGAUGCCGCCCUCGAUGAGGGAUUUGGCGCACCCUGGCGGCAACCCCUACACGGCUCCCACAGCGACGCAGCCGCCGCCGCCGCGGUCUGCCAAGUCGGAGGUCUCAGCGCGCGUCGAGGAUCUGCCAGGCGCCGGGCAGGGCGGCAGCAGCGAAUUCUUCAACCUCUACACCCUGCCGCCGCCAGCGACCACGUCUCCGUGGCUCUCGUCAGGGAUCGGCGAGUCAGCGGCGCCGAUGGCGCCUGUGAACCGCACAAGCGAUUCCAUGACCGCCAAGCUACCAGGGCACCGCUCGCCGCGCACGACUGCGGCUCGACCAGAGAGGCUGCAAGCGAUCCCAUUGAAAGAAGGGAGCAUGAACAGCAACGGAGGGCUGACGACGACGACCGGCAGCACCACAAGCCCUGCUUUGGCGGCGGCCCGCCAGUCCAGCACCUCCAGCCACGGCGGCUCGGCGCCCAACACGCCGUCCCUGCGCAAGGAGCUCUCGACGCCGCUGUCAGGGAGCCGCUCGCAGCCCUACACGCCGGGCGGCUCGCGCCCGCAGCGCCCCUCCCUCUCCGCCCCUCUCGUCAACCGGCACACCAUCACUCACAUCUUCCGCGAGACGCCGCAGUCGCUGCGGCGCAGGGAGCGUAUGGAGCACAACCACUAUCACAGCGACCAGGCACUGUGCAAGGAUUUCCACUGGCCCCCGCACGACGAGGCGGAUGCAGAGCACAUGCUGCGGGAGCGCAACGCGACAAAGCUGCUGCGUCACCUCACCAUAAUCAGCUUCUCCCGGCAGCACGUCAGCGGGGUGCAGGAGCUGUUCGACACGUGGGCCAAGAAUGGCAUUCCCGCGCCGGACAUGGGCUUUGGCGCGUACUACUUCUACGUCAAAGAGAAGAGCGAGAAGCUACUGUGCAUGAAGCACAACGGCCGAGGUGCCUCCCCGGGCCACGGCUACGGGCGGUGCGACUUUGAGAGUCGCCGCCCGUACAGCACGUGCCGCUACGAGCACGUGUGCCUCUUUUGUCGCUCUAAGGAGCACGGCUGGUUCGAGGAGGGCAAGUGCCAAGGCUACCAGCAGCUGCUGACUGAGAUGGAGGAAUUAGGGGUCACCGAGGAGGACGUUGUGACGCUGCUGAACGCGAUGGAGAGGCCGGCGAAGCCAACGCGAUCCAGGUAAAGCCCCACCUCUCCCCCGCACGCGCGCAGCCAUCUUUCGUGUGGCAAUCAGCGACGCUCUUCGCAUAUAUGCUUAUCGGUCGCGCUCCUCUGACAGACGCCACGCACGCACGUACUAGGCGCCUCGUCGAGCUCGCCCCUGUCCGUCACGUACGUCUGCAGGGUCGAGGAACGUUGCGGUUAGGCGGCGCAUUGUGGAGAACAUUUUUGCUUUCCUCUUUUUUUUCUUGGUUACCGCGCAUUCAUGCAGGCCCCUGUGUAUUCGCGCGUGCGUGCGUGUGCAUGAUCGUCCUUCUUAGCCGAAAACGUGUAUGUAAAGGUGUACAUCAAGGGUGGGAUGUGUACGCACCCGUAUAUUUAUCUAUGUAAUCUGUGGUGUGUUUAGUUGCGUGAUUCGUUGUCAUGGAUGCCGUUGCCGCCUUUUGAUGAUCAUACCGUUGUGUGUGCGUAUGCCUGUACGCGUAUGUGUUACCGCGUUGCGAUCGCAACGGCGUCCUUUUCUAUACCUUUCUGUAUAUAUAGCGUCGCGCUGGCGUGUGUACACCUUCCUCGCUUUUUCUUCGCUGCCUUCGUCGUUCCUGCGCCUUGUUGGGUGCCGCCGUUUUCUCCUCGGCGGCAGCUGUGCGAGCGGCUUCUAUCACCCUUGUUGCGCGCACGCGCUUUAAGACUCUCUUCCGCAUUUUGCUCUAUCUCUGGCCAUUCGACGUCUUCCCCUCUCUCCUUUUUCACCGUGUGAUGUUUCUGUCGUUGCAAGGGCCGAGCAGCGCUCAUUUUGUGUUGUUUCCUUUUGUUGUUUGCUGCGAGCCACGGUGUGGCCUUCUGUGCCCCCGGCGUUUGCUAGCUCUCCCUCUCCGUUUCUCUCGCCUUGCACACGUUGCUCUACUUUCAGGCCGCUGUGGCAUCUCUCUCUUCCAUUUUUGUCGUGGUACUGCCGUUGGUAUCGCCUGGUUGCGCCUACAGAUGUGUGUGUGUGUGUGUUUGUGAGCGUCUUGUCUACCUGCGUUUUCUGUCUUUCUGAUCAGUGACGGCAAUAGACUUGAGAUUCUUCGCUUUUUUUUCGCGUUCUCUCUUCUCAUCGAUACGUACUGCUGUUUUGUUUUUUCUUCAAGUGCUCUGAUACUCACGGAGACUCUUCCUGCCACACGAUAGCCAACACACGCACCGACCCCCCCCCCCACACACACACACACCCGUCCUACUAGGAGGCUCAAUCCAGUUUGUACAGGUACUCGGUCCCUCUUUUUUUCUUUUGAUUUCUUUUGAAUGCUAUGCUCGAAGGCGAGUUGGACCUGUUAUGUCUGUGUGGUGUUGUCGAGCCACUGCAGCUGCUACUGCUUCUUUGUUGCUGUGCUCACCAUCGCUCAUCCAUCUCCUCCCCCUCCCGUUCACUCCCUCCUGUGGUCCGACUCUCUCUGUCUCUGCCUCUUUUCUUUACCUCUUCUUCCUCUAGAUCUCUAAGCUCUGAUUUUCUUUGCUGCUUCACGAUUCCCGAACCUUUUUGUGUGCUCUUGUCGACUUCUUUUCUGUGUCACCGGUGCUGUCCCGUCACAUACUCCACCACCGCUUGUGUGUCUUUGCGUGGCUGCCGCUGCCGCUGCCUCUUCCCCUGUUUCUUUACGGGUUUCUGCAGUGCCCAGCGUCUCUUCUUCAAGUGCGCGUGCGCUUGCGGGCAUCGUGGGUGGUUUACGUGUUCCACCUCGAGAAACACAACGCUGUUAUAUGUGUGUGUGUGCAUGUCAGUGCCUGUGUCUAGGCAUGCAAGAUGGUUUUCCGUUGAUACAGAGAGUGCCCGUCACCUUCUUGACAUGUUUGCCUCUCCAUCCCUCUUGCCCCCUAAUGUGCUGUGAACGCUCGCUCUAACGCUUGUGUUUUGCCGUGUAUCGCGGAUGUGCGGAUGUGACUCACCUUUUCCCUCUUGCUCCUGCCGGCGCGGCUGUUCUUGUGGCUGUUGCUUCAUAGUGGCAAUGUCGCCGGAGUAGAGAACAGCAUCUCUGGUGGGGGCUCUCUUCCUCCCUUCCCUGUCCUCUAGUGUGUGGCGCAGCUGGACUGUGUGACGUUGGCGGAGGCCGUUUAUUUAUGUUUAGCCUUUGCUUGUGUUCUUGUGUACGGGGUUGCGCGGUGUCGUGCACUGGGCACCUUUUCGCUCUCUCUCUCUGAGACCCCUCUCUGUAUAUAUUUUCUGGCGUCUCGUGCGUGUGUGUGUGUGUAUGUGAUUCUAUCUCUGCGUGCGCGCUUCGCCUACCUUGCCAAUUUUUCCCCAUCCCCUCCCUCUCUCGUGGCGCGUUGGUUUCGGUGUUUAUAGUUUCCUCUAUUGUGCCACCACACACACCACUCUCUCUGUUGCUCGCUUGCCACUCCCUUCUUCCCUCUUUUUGAUGUUUCCGUGGCUUCUCACCUUCUUUUAUUUCCACGUCAUUUGCUUCUCUCGUCAUGUGCGCCUCCGUGCCUGUUUCUUCGUUACGUGUGUGCGUGUGGUUGUCUCUUGUCUGGUCCCUCAUCACCUCCUCCUGCCCGUUCUCCUGCAUCUUCUGAGUCCUUCCCUCCCGAAGCGAAUCGAGUGGCCAGAUGAUGCGCCCCCCCCCUCUCUCUCUCCCUCCCACACAUGCACGCAGC
This 11275-nucleotide unclassified non-coding RNA is filed under the name Leishmania donovani. RNAcentral describes it as "gene:LdHU3.19.0300(CDS-product:hypothetical_prote in_conserved)". Lineage: Eukaryota; Euglenozoa; Kinetoplastea; Trypanosomatida; Trypanosomatidae. The record is from RNAcentral.